This 497-nucleotide ribosomal RNA is filed under the name uncultured bacterium. Its description in RNAcentral is "partial 16S ribosomal RNA". It matches the Rfam family "Bacterial small subunit ribosomal RNA", at positions 28 to 507 of the family's 1533-position model. The record is from RNAcentral.
GAUGAACGCUGGCGGCGUGCCUAAUACAUGCAAGUCGAGCGAACGGACGAGAAGCUUGCUUCUCUGAUGUUAGCGGCGGACGGGUGAGUAACACGUGGAUAACCUACCUAUAAGACUGGGAUAACUUCGGGAAACCGGAGCUAAUACCGGAUAAUAUUUUGAACCGCAUGGUUCAAAAGUGAAAGGCGGUCUUGCUGUCACUUAUAGAUGGAUCCUCGCUGCAUUAGCUAGUUGGUAAGGUAACGGCUUACCAAGGCAACGAUGCAUAGCCGACCUGAGAGGGUGAUCGGCCACACUGGAACUGAGACACGGUCCAGACUCCUACGGGAGGCAGCAGUAGGGAAUCUUCCGCAAUGGGCGAAAGCCUGACGGAGCAACGCCGCGUGAGUGAUGAAGGUCUUCGGAUCGUAAAACUCUGUUAUUAGGGAAGAACAUAUGUGUAAGUAACUGUGCACAUCUUGACGGUACCUAAUCAGAAAGCCACGGCUAACUACGUG